AUUGAACGCUGGCGGCAGGCCUAACACAUGCAAGUCGAACGGUAGCACAGAGAGCUUGCUCUUGGGUGACGAGUGGCGGACGGGUGAGUAAUGUCUGGGAAACUGCCCGAUGGAGGGGGAUAACUACUGGAAACGGUAGCUAAUACCGCAUAACGUCGCAAGACCAAAGUGGGGGACCUUCGGGCCUCACACCAUCGGAUGUGCCCAGAUGGGAGUAGCUUGUUGGUGAGGUAAUGGCUCACCAAGGCGACGAUCCCUAGCUGGUCUGAGAGGAUGACCAGCCACACUGGAACUGAGACACGGUCCAGACUCCUACGGGAGGCAGCAGUGGGGAAUAUUGCACAAUGGGCGCAAGCCUGAUGCAGCCAUGCCGCGUGUAUGAAGAAGGCCUUCGGGUUGUAAAGUACUUUCAGCGAGGAGGAAGGCAUUGUGGUUAAUAACCGCAGUGAUUGACGUUACUCGCAGAAGAAGCACCGGCUAACUCCGUGCCAGCAGCCGCCGUAA
This 504-nucleotide ribosomal RNA is filed under the name uncultured bacterium. RNAcentral describes it as "partial 16S ribosomal RNA". It matches the Rfam family "Bacterial small subunit ribosomal RNA", at positions 30 to 523 of the family's 1533-position model. The record is from RNAcentral.